RNAcentral lists this ribosomal RNA (494 nucleotides) under uncultured bacterium. RNAcentral describes it as "partial 16S ribosomal RNA". It matches the Rfam family "Bacterial small subunit ribosomal RNA", at positions 28 to 507 of the family's 1533-position model. The record is from RNAcentral.
GACGAACGCUGGCGGCGUGCUUAACACAUGCAAGUCGAACGGUGAAGCGCCUUCCUUUUUGGUGGGUGUGGAUGAGUGGCGAACGGGUGAGUAACACGUUAGUAACCUGCCCCCUUCUUCUGGAUAACCGCAUGAAAGUGUUGCUAAUACGGGAUAUUCUGGUGCUGUCGCGUGAUUGGUCUGUGAAAGAUAUUGUUUCGGUGGGGGAGGGGUUCGCGGCCGAUCGGGUGGUUGGGGUGGUGCUGGCCUACCAAGGCGGUGACGGGUGGACGGGCUGAGAGGGUGGACGGCCAGAGAGGGAAGGAGACAAGGCGAAGACUCCGACGGGAGGCAGCAGGGGAGAAUAGUGAACAGUGGGCAGAAGCCUGAAGCAGCGACGCGGCGGGAGGGAUGGAGGCCUGCGCGUUGUGACCCUCUUUCGGCAGUGAAGCAGGCUUGCCUCGUUUGUGGGUGGGUUGACGGUAGCUUGAUAAGAAGCGCCGGCUAACUACGUG